Long non-coding RNA from Humulus lupulus (European hop), 437 nucleotides. RefSeq lists it as uncharacterized. NCBI's taxonomy places the organism in Eukaryota, Viridiplantae, Streptophyta, Magnoliopsida, Rosales, Cannabaceae. The transcript is spliced from 3 exons. The record is from RefSeq and is a predicted model, not a curated record.
GAAACACAGAUGUUAGGGAUACAAGAUGCUUUUUGUACACCAGGGAUGAGUAGCCAAAGGCUCUCUGUUGGAAUGACACCCAAAACACUACGGCUUCCGAAGCCUGGAGAGAUGCUUCUAUCUGUCCGUGGUUCGCCACUUGGUGUUUACAAGGAAGACAACAUGGAAGCUAUACAUGAGUAUGAAGAGAGUUAACUGGAGAUUGCUGAAGUAGUCAAAUCAUGAUUCAGUGUUCUACUGGUGCUACUGAAUUAUUUGUAUUAAGUAAGAUUUAUGUAAAAAUUUGGUAAAAGCCUGUUCUUAAUCUGAUGAUACAAUGUAAAUUUCAUCCAUGUGGUCGUAUAGUUUAGUUUUGGGAGUUCCAAAAAAAUGGUGCUAUUCUGAUUAGCCAAAAUAAUUUUACAUAUAAAUAUAUUUAAGUCUUAAUUAUUCACGAA